This 99-nucleotide transfer RNA is filed under the name Macrophomina phaseolina. RNAcentral describes it as "tRNA-Glu". RNAcentral also lists the same sequence under 1 other name. Lineage: Eukaryota; Fungi; Ascomycota; Dothideomycetes; Botryosphaeriales; Botryosphaeriaceae. The record is from RNAcentral.
UCCGUUGUGGUCUAGGGGCUAGGAUUUGCCGCUCUCAGAUUCAGAGCACUCCUCGCAUCAAGCGCCGGCAAGGCCCGGGUUCGAUUCCCGGCGACGGAA